This 583-nucleotide unclassified non-coding RNA is filed under the name Hevea brasiliensis (rubber tree). The record is from RNAcentral. Lineage: Eukaryota; Viridiplantae; Streptophyta; Magnoliopsida; Malpighiales; Euphorbiaceae.
GGACCGCCGUGUCUCGUGCGCUUGCACUGCCGGCCGUGGACCUCCGCCUCCCCCGCGCGCGGGCCCCACUCGCCGCCGGCGUAUGCUGCGCAUCCCUCGUCGCCUUCCGCCUCCGAUCGCCGCCCUUCGCCCGCGCCACCGCCGCCCUAUCCUCCUCCGCUGCCGAUUAUAAAGUAGCCGUUCAAACAGAGAAGGCCCCUGCAGCACUGGGACCUUAUUCUCAAGCUAUUAAAGCAAAUAACCUUCUUUUUGUCUCCGGUGUCCUUGGUCUUGUUCCUGAGACAGGAAAAUUCAUCUCUGAUAGUGUCGAGGAGCAAACCGAGCAGGUUCUGAAGAACAUGGGUGAAAUACUGAAAGCUGGUGGUGCUAGUUAUUCUUCAGUUGUCAAGACAACAAUCAUGCUUGCAGACCUGAAGGAUUUUAAGAAAGUGAACGAGAUAUAUGCGAAAUACUUCUCAUCUCCUGCCCCUGCAAGAUCAACUUAUCAGGUAGCUGCACUACCUUUGGAUGCCCGCAUUGAGAUAGAGUGCAUUGCAGCUCUAUAGACCCUAAACCGCAAAACUUCGGUGAAUAAUAUCAGCUC